UAAGUAAGAAGCAAUUAUGCAUUUAAUUUCGACUUAAAAGACAGAGUACAAGACUCCUUACUUAU
RNAcentral lists this transfer RNA (65 nucleotides) under Maruca vitrata. RNAcentral describes it as "tRNA-Arg". Lineage: Eukaryota; Metazoa; Arthropoda; Insecta; Lepidoptera; Crambidae. The record is from RNAcentral.